RNAcentral lists this long non-coding RNA (479 nucleotides) under Pan troglodytes (chimpanzee). RNAcentral's name for it is "long non-coding RNA NONPTRT014071". Lineage: Eukaryota; Metazoa; Chordata; Mammalia; Primates; Hominidae. The record is from RNAcentral.
AGCCCCCAUUUGGAGCAAGCAGUCACUGAAGCAGAGCUAGGAGAGUUUUCUUCUGGCAAGCGGAGGUGUCAGGCCUGUUUGGAGCCAGAUCUUGUCGUCAAGAACAAAUACAUGAAGGAAGUUUGAGGAAUGGUUGGUCAGCUAAUCAGAAUUCAGAGUACAGUGUCAUCAAGUUGCUCACAUGCUCAUAACCCCGGGUGAAUAGUAGAAUAGGAAGAAAAGUUCAAGUAGAUUUGUUUUCUGGGGAAAUCUAUCAAGCUAUUAAUUGUGAAUAGUAGCUUGCACUCUGAAUGCACUCUCACUUCAGGGCCUUGAUGCUUGCCGAUUUCCUGGCCUGGAAGCUUCCACUCCCUGCGCGGCUCACCAGCUUCCUUCCUUUUGGUCUUUGUUCGAAUGCCACAUCUUCAGAGCAGCCUUCUCUAAUCACUCAUAUGAUAGAGCAGCCCUUGUUCUCUGUCCCAUCUCCUGCUUUCUUCUUC